AGUGGAGUUACUGGAUCAUGUGGUAAGUUUGUUUAACUUUUGGAAGAACUACCAAAUUGCUUUCCACAGUAGCUGUGUCAUUUUGCAUUGCCAUCAGCAAG
This 101-nucleotide microRNA precursor is filed under the name Marmota monax (woodchuck). The record is from RNAcentral. Lineage: Eukaryota; Metazoa; Chordata; Mammalia; Rodentia; Sciuridae.